CUCCACAGCUCUGUCUGGGUUGUUGAAGCUCGCUCUCAAAGCUGCUACCACCUGCUCCCUCUCGUAGCCCAUGAGCAUCAUCUCGUUUACCAUGGCGUCAUUAUGAUGGCCCCUUACCUAGAUUUGAAACGGCCUCAUUAAUCAGGUUAGUGUUGGUUGAAGCCUCCGAGCUUCUGCAAGAGAAAACAGAGCUUGGGUGAGGCGUGAUCUGCACGUCACUUCUCA
Long non-coding RNA from Etheostoma spectabile (orangethroat darter), 225 nucleotides. RefSeq lists it as uncharacterized. The record is from RefSeq and is a predicted model, not a curated record. The transcript is spliced from 2 exons. Lineage: Eukaryota; Metazoa; Chordata; Actinopteri; Perciformes; Percidae.